Molecule: ribosomal RNA, 253 nt
Filed under: uncultured bacterium
Lineage: Bacteria
Description: partial 16S ribosomal RNA
Rfam family: Bacterial small subunit ribosomal RNA
Source: RNAcentral
UACAGAGGGGGCAAGCGUUAUUCGGAAUUAUUGGGCGUAAAGGGCGCGUAGGCGGCUUGGCAAGUGGAUGGUGAAAUCCCUCGGCUUAACCGAGGAACUGCCGUCCAAACUGCUUCGCUUGAGACCGGGAGAGGUGAGUUGAAUUCCCAGUGUAGCGGUGAAAUGCGUAGAUAUUGGGAGGAACACCAGUGGCGAAGGCGGCUCACUGGACCGGUACUGACGCUGAUGCGCGAAAGCGUGGGGAGCAAACGGG